CCAGGAUGUAGCUGCGAAUGAGACGGCCGUGGGCCCCUCCCCCAGGGAGCUUUCAGUUUAAUGGAAAACCCCCUGUUAAUCCAGUGCGAUCGUUUCACUCCACCUGCUCUGAACCCUGUAGUUGCGGUCUGUUGCUUUUAGGAUGAAGACGAAGUCCUUGACGUGCAGAGGCCAUGGGGGACUUGGCCUCUUGCAACUUCACCUUCGUGUUCAGCACACUUCCCUUGGCUCUGCUACAGUCUUCUUGGACUUUCAUAUCGGGAACAUGUUUUUGCACAUGCUGUUACUUUCGGAAAGAUUUUUCUUUCAACCUAGUUAAUUCCUAUUCUUAAGCCUCCCCAUCUAGGAUAAAUUCUCCCUGGCACUAAUCACGAUUGUGGUCUUAAAGCUAACUAUGAGAAUCUUUGAUUUCUUUAGUCUAAGCUCCGUGAUGGAAGAGAUCAAACCUUUCUCUCUCCACUGUUAUCUCCUGUGUCUCAUGCUUGGCCUGGAAUGAAAUAAAUAUGUGAUAAAUGUUUGUGGGAUGAAGAAAACAUACAUCAGUGUAUUAUCUCAAACUGGGAGAGGUGGUAUACAAGAAAGGGAAUCCAGUGCUAGUGGAGUGUGUAACCCAGGGCCCCCGACCUGAUCUGUGGAGACAGGCGGUGAUCUGAAGGGUGAGCAGGCACUUACGUAGAAGAAGAGAGGUCAGGCUGCUGGAGAGUAUUGCACACAGAGACUGUCAGUUCCAAAGGUUCUAAGGUUGGAGAAGAGUGGUUCAUGCAGAGGAACAGUAGGUACAAAGAUCCUGAAUUAGCAUAGUAGAUAAACUGAAAGAAGAUGAGGCUAGCAGGAAAUUGCAGCAUGCAAUGAGUUUUGGAAGAUGCUGGCUUUUUGGUAGAAUAUGACCGGUUAACAAGAAUACAAAGUGUCUGUAGGGGAUGAUAUAAUUAAAGUAAUAACCCAGACCUUUUGGCAUGUUUUGUGGCCUCUUCAGGGUCCUUUGCUAAUUUGUUUCUGGUUAUUACUGGGUGUAGAGUGGGGUGAUGAUCAAAAAAAUGCCUGCCCCAAGGUCCAAGAAAAGGAAACCUUACUCUAAGAUUCUUUUUCUGAUUUUGGGGGGGCUACUUUUACCUGUUUUUCCAUAUUAACCUUAGAAGCACUUUAUCAAGUUCUAAAAAAAAAAAUAUAUCCUGUUGGGAUUACUAUUGGAAGCACUUGGAUGUAGUUAUUAAACGCUUGGCUUCUGGAAUCUGGCUUAUCUGGUUUGGGAAUCCAAGUUCAUUCAUCCACUGGGUGACUGACCUUGGUAGAGAAAAUUAUUGUCUUAGACUUGUUUUCUUAUUUGGAAAAAAGAAAAGGUUCAAAGGAUUAUUGUGGAGAUUGAAUGAGAGAAUAUGUAUUUUUCCUCCAAAAACACGUUUCUAUUUUUUUUUUUUUACUUUUUAUGUUUCUCAGUAAACUUCUAUUUUAAAAAAUGAAGGUCUGGAUUUCCUCUUGUUAGGGUUUGCUCUGAGUUUUCUGGUGUCUUUUGCUUGUUUUGCUCUUUGUGUAUUCAUGUUCCCCUCUACUCUUGUCUUAGGACAGGCAGCAUUGCAUGAUGUUGGUGAGUACAGCCUGUGGUGCUGAGGGCAAGUUACUUACCUUUCAAAUUCUCAGUUUCCUCAGAAUUCAAACUUCAUGGCAUAGUGUGGAUUAAAAGAGGAAAUAUUCAUACACCACUUACCAAGUAGCAUUUAGUAAAUGAUUGCUACUGUUACCGGCAAGUUUGUUGAUUUAAAGGAGAGCCUUUGUCUGGGUUGGGCUCACUCUUGUUUCUCUUUGCUUCUUCCCUCAGCCCCUGCCCUUCAUUGAGAGGAAGCCCAGGUGAUGGCUGUCAUGCCCCUGAGAGCCUGGCACCAGGUGAGCUGUGAUUCCCUCAGGAGGUGGUGACCUUUGAGGACGUGGCUGUAUACUUCACCCAGACAGAAUGGGCUGGCCUUUCUCCUGCACAGAGGGCCCUGUACAGAAGUGUGAUGCUGGAGAUUUAUGGGAACUUGACGUCUCUGGGAUACCCAGUUCCCAAACCUGCAUUGGUCUCACUUCUGGAGAGAGGGGAUUUGCCUUGGGGCCUGGAGACACGGGAUGAUCCCCCUGCACAGGGGACCAAAGACAUCUGUAAAAAUGCUGGGACCAACACUGACAAUGAGUUAACACCAACAUGGGGAGUUUCUGAAGAAAGAGAUAUGAUGAUGUUACAUGGGCCACAGAAGAAUGUUCUUAAGAGAAACAGCUUCCUAGAAACAUGUGAACUGGAGAAGCACCAGGAAAUCCCCACAGUGAAAAACAUUAGAGGAAAGGUUCCAAGAAUCCACUAUAAUAGGAAACCCUUCAGAUGUGAGGAAUGUGGCAAAUGCUUCAGCUAUUUUUCUUACUAUGUUAGACACCAGAGAAUCCACACUGGGGAGAAACCCUUUGAGUGUAAUGAGUGUGGAAAAGCCUUUAAUGGCAAUUCUUCAUUAAUUCGACAUCAGAGAAUCCACACUGGAGAGAAACCCUAUCAGUGUGAAGAGUGUGGGAGAGCCUUUAAUGAUAACGCAAAUCUGAUCAGGCAUCAGAGAAUCCACAGUGGGGACAGACCCUAUCUCUGCACGGAGUGUGGAAAUGGUUUCACCAGUAGUUCUGAGUUUGUUAUACACCAGCGAAUUCACACUGGGGAGAAACCCUAUGAGUGUAAUGAGUGUGGAAAAGCUUUUGUUGGUAAUUCACCACUGCUGCGACAUCAGAAAAUCCACACUGGAGAGAAACCUUAUGAGUGUAAUGAGUGUGGCACAAGCUUCGGACGGACUUCUCAUCUUAGUCAGCAUCAGCGUAUUCACACAGGGGAAAAGCCUUAUCCUUGUAAAAUAUGUGGGCAAGCCUUCAAUUUUCAUACAAAACUAAAUCGGCACCAGCGAGUCCACAGUGAGGUGAAACCCUUUGACUGUAUAGAUUGUGGAAAAGCCUUUAGUGCUCAGGAUCAAUUAAAAAGGCAUCUAAGAAUCCAUAUUCAGGAGACUUCCUAUGUGUGUGAUGAGUGUGGAGUAGUCUUCACUAGCAAAAGAAAUCUGCUUCAGCAUCAAAGAGUCCAUACUAGAGAGAAAACCUGUGAAUAUGUCAAGUAUGAAAAAACCUUUAGGACUUCUUCCCAGCUAGAUCAUAUCCACCCUGGAGAGAAGCCAGUGCUGGAUGUUGGAUGUUUUGGCCUCCCAGAAUUUUUUACCCCCUUUUACUGGUCAUCCAUAACACCCAAGACAUGGUGGCUCCUAGUGUAAUCUUCUUACGGUGUCUCUUAAUAACAUGUGGACUCCUACAAGGCCAAUUAACAUCACAGCUUUCGUUGAACUGGAUCUGGGAUUCUCCAGGGCUUUGGCUUCCGGACAAUGACUGGCUGAGUCAACAUAGACAGGAGGUUGGUCUCCUCCGGACAUACUAGUCCAUGCAGACAGGAGCCAGUGUCUUCAGGACCUGCUGGGAGGCACCGCCACAGGAGUAAAAGGGCGAGGCCUGUGUUAUGGAUCUUACACCUUCCUAGAAAUAUGAAACAACGGAAUCGUCCUACUAUUUAAGAAAAGGAAAACAUUUUUCCCUAAGACUCGAGGAAGAAGCUCCAUCCCCACCAUCAACACCCGAAGCUGAAAUUCGACUUCAACGAUUCCCUGAACAACUUGCUUAUGGGACAUUAACACUGUCUUUAAGUACUAUCUUUUAUGACCCCAGCAUGAGCUACAGCCACCCCCCACCUGCCCAGGAGACCCUCCAAGACCAGCAGUACGCGGGCCUCUCACUGUUGUGGCCUCUCCCGUUGCGGAGCACAGGCUCCAGGCACGCAGGCUCAGCCGCUCCACGGCAUGUGGGAUCUUCCCGGACCAGGGCACGAACCCGUGUCCCCCACAUCGGCAGGCGGACUCUCAACAACUGCGCCACCAGGGAAGCCCCAACAUAGCUUUUAAUGGAUUAACAAUUUUGGUUGGGGUAACCUUGGAGAAUAAAACAUCGGAGUGAUUAAGAUUUAGACCAGCUAGUCAAAAUGCUUUAUCAUUAAUGAUCCAAAAUAUUGAUAAGUGGAAUAAGUUACCCUAGGGGUAGCAGCACAAUUGUAGAGUUCAUACUGACGAUAAGGUUUAUGACCUUGAUGCUGGAUCAGUACAUCCCAAUAGUAUAACUGCUAUUAACGGUCUGUUCAGUGAUUAGUAAAGUCCUGUUUGAUCUGAGUUCAGACUGGAGUAAUCCCAUUAGGUUUCUAUUCUAUAUUUCUUGCAGUAUGAAAGAACAAGAGAAAUAAGGCCUAUUUUACAAAAUGUCUUCAAACUAAUUGAUGAUAUAAUCUCAAUUCAAUUAAUUUAUACAUACCCCACUAUAGAACAGGGUUUGUUAGGGUGGUAGAGCCCGGUAAUUGUGUAAAACUAAAACCUUUAUCCGCAGAGGUUCAAGUCCUUUUCCUACAGAAAUAUUUAUAAUCUGCAUUCUUUCACGAAUUCUACUUUUACUAGCUGUAGCAUUCCUCACAUUAAUGGAACGGAAAUUCCUAGGCUAUAUACAAAUCCAGAAAGGGCCACACAUCGUCAGCCCUUAUGGAUUAUUAUAACCCAUUGCUGAUACAGUCAGAUUAUUUAUUAAAGAAACACUAUGACCAUCAAUCUCAUCAAUUUCUGUAUUAUCGCAUCAAGUCUAGCCUCAAGCCUGGCUCUCGCAAGAUGAAUUCCUCUCCCCCUACCCUUUCCACUAGUUAACAUAAACCUAGGUGUACUAUUUAUACUAGCUAUCAAGCCUAGCCAUUUUUUCCAUCCUCUGAUCUGUAUGCGUUUUGGAUUCAAAAUACACAGUCAUCGGAGGUCUCCAUGCAGUAGCACAGACAAUCUCAUAUGAUGUAACACUAGCAAUUAUUCUCUUAUCAGUUCUAGUGAUAAAUGAUCAUUUACACUUUCAGCAGUAAUUAUUACACAAGAAUACCUGUGACUAAUUUUCCCAUCCUGACCCCUAGCCAGAAUGUGAUUUAUCUCUACUCUAGCAGAAACCAACAGAGUCCCAUUUGAUUUAACCUAUAUUUGGCUUCAAUGUAGAAAAUGUAGCAGGCUUAGUCACCCUGUUCUUCCUAGCAGAGUAUGUCAAUAUCAUUAUAAUAAAUAUUUUCACAACAAUCCUAUUUUUAGGAGCAUUUGACAACCCCUACAUGCUAGAAUUCUAUACAGCCAAUGUCAUCAUUAAAACACUCCUCCUAACAAUCUCCUUUCUAUGAAUUCAAGCAUCCUGCCCACAAUUUUGAUAAGAUCAGCUUAUAUAUCUCUUAUGAAAAAAUUUUUACCACUAACAUUAGUCUUAUGUGUAUGAGAAGUUUCACUACCUGUCAUCACAUCAGGCAUCCCACCACAAACAUAAGAAAUAUGUCUGACAAAGAGUUAUUUUGAUAGAGUUAGUAAUAGAGGUUUAAAACCCUCUUAUUUCUAGAAUCAUAGAAAUUGAACCCACCCUUAAGAAUUUUAAAUUCUUCAUGGUAAAGUCAGCUAACUAACUAUUGGGCCCAUACCCCAAAAAUGUUGGUUUACAUCCUUCCAGUACUAAUAAACCCUCUUGUGUUUACUAUCAUUCUACUAACCAUUAUCUCAGGAAUUAUAAUUGAAAUAACAAGCUCACACAGGUUACUAUUAUCCCCAUUCUAAUUAAAAAAAAAAAAUUUAACCCAUAAGUGUGAACAAUAGCACAAAUACCAGUAGAAAAUCUAAGGCAACCCAGUUAUCUAAUACUACCUGGGCUAAGGAAUAUAGGGAUAUCUGUUGUGCUGCAGUGCAGUCUUUUUGGCUGUUUGACUAGUGGUGGCUGAUAAAUUUCUGAUCUUUUUGUUUAUAUACACUCCUGCAUUAGGAACCAAGAUUCCCAAAAGAUUUGCCACUGGUAUCUUGGUAUUUUGCUAACACAGAUUGCUUGACUCUUUAAUGAAGAGAGAAAGGAGAUUCAUUUAUUUCCUGAUGUAUAGACAAUGGGAUAACGUAAUAUUCUAAUAAAUAUAUACCUUCUAUUUGUCAGCUAUUAAGACAUUUUUCAAUUAAGUAAGGGACAGAGGGAGGGGGUCCUGGGGUAAGUAUUGCUCAGUCUCUAGGGACUGAAGAUAGUAUCAGACAAGGAAUGGCCAUAUUAAUACGUUGAAGAAUUUAAACCUGAAAGAUUAGGUCAGAGAGAGGUUGGUCUGGGUGAGCGGUAACAUUAGCAACAUCUGAAAAGUCAGCGACAGGUAUUAUGAGGGGCCUAUCCCAGUAG
Molecule: RNA transcript, 6252 nt
Organism: Lagenorhynchus albirostris (white-beaked dolphin)
Lineage: Eukaryota; Metazoa; Chordata; Mammalia; Artiodactyla; Delphinidae
Gene: ZNF19
Gene name: zinc finger protein 19
Exons: 10
Source: RefSeq, a predicted model, not a curated record